GAGACUUAACCGAAACAAGAUCUCAUCUUCAGUUUUGCUUUGCUCUGGGGUCGCAGGGGAAAGUGCGGGAACCUUUUGAAAACAGCAACCAAGAGAAUUGUCCAUUUGCGGUUUAAGCUGCAACUUUUGUUCCAGCCACACAGAGACUACCACAGCUCUGGUGUCAGGAGUCAACAACAGGCGCAGUUAGACGAGGUCAUGCUGUCAGAACAUCUGGGGAACUUGAACAGCUUUGGAUCGGUUGCAGAGUCAGCAAGACAACAUUUGGUUGUGUCUGCCAAUCGUCUCCUGCGGUUUGAGGAUGAAACAGAAAAAGAGGUGGAGACUCGUUAUUUGGAACGUUGGAGCCAAAGGAGACAGGAAAUGCAGCGGAGAGCAGGAGUCCUGGUGUCCAAACCCGACUUAGAGAGUUUGAAAGCAGGACUGGAGCUCAGACAGGGGAAGUCUCCUGCUGUCGGGAGGCUGAGAGGACAAACAGUGAUGAGAGAAUUGGAGAGACAGAAGAGCCUAAACAGGAAGCAACUGAGGCUGCGGACAGAGCCGCUCAGAGAGACCUACAUCGGCUGUGUCACGCCUUCUGACACAGGGAGACAAGGAGAAAAGACUUGUCGGGAAUCGUGUGCCCAAGUGAGACAAAGGACCACUCACAGUGAAAUGUUUGGAUCUCCGCAGACCGCCUCACAACCUCUUCUACUCAUAGAUCCACCAACAGGUUCUGAAUCCUCCUGCAGUGAUGCUCCACACGUUCAUGUUUCAUGCUCUCCCUCAUUCAGACGACCUUUGUCUUUAUCCAGUCCUUCUAAAACAUCAGUGAUGCCACAGAGGAACGCGUCCAAUUCAAGGAAGCAGGGAAAGGACUUGAACCAGAAUCAAGACAGACAAAGGACACCUUCCUGUCAAAGGGUCCACAGACAUCUUGGAACCGGGCCAGAGCUCAUGGAGAAGGUCCCUUUUCUGGAGAAGAAAAGCCGUGAACCGAACCCUGCUGCCAGACCCUCCUCAUCAGGAACGAGUUUGGAGAUGAAAGCAGGUAAUCAAACUCCUCCUGCUCUGGCCAUCAGGGACGGAUCCUCCACGAAAUCACUGAGAUCCGAGUUUCCCACAGAGGAGGACUCACAUUCUGAGCGCAGACAGAGCAGGAGUCGAACCCGCAGUCUGGAUCGGCUUCCUUCAAAGACCCAACCUCCCGUCAGCGGUCCAACCCAUUUAGGAGACCUGAGGUCCUGCGGCUUUCUGAAGACCCCCCCCUCUGUUCGGUGGUUCUGUGAGGUAUGUCUGCAACUGACUCCCAACAACAGCUCGACGGAGGUUUCAGUCUGACUGUCUGUCUGCUUCUCUGCAGGGCUCAAACAUCUUCCCAAUGACCAAGUUCUCCUCUGUUUUCAAUGUUUGGUCAGAACAGAACUGCUCCACUGACGGCAGAUCAGCUGAUGACCACUGAGCACUUCCUGUUAACCCUUUAACAGAGCAGUUCCGGUCUUUAUGUUCUUUGAUAUACUGUAGAUUGUGAAUGAGAAAAGCGGCUAAUGCCGGAGUCAUAAAUAAACGUUGUGAAAUGUUCGUAUUAAUUCGAUUUUGACUUUGUGAAAUCUGAGACGUCAUAUCCGGCGUUUAAAAUCCAGGGCACUAGAUAGUUCUGCACUAUAUAGUUUUUUAGUAGUUAGAGGGGAAUUCAGACACAACCAUAGAGAUUGAAGUUGUUUCUUACUCUGUUUACAUUCCCAUAAUGCUGCUUUGAUCCAGUUGUUCUGAUCCGAGCAUGGAGUCUAUUCAGACUGAGGAAACUCGGAGUGAACCUGAGCUCAGUCCGAUUGGAAACGAAUCGAAACUACCUCAAACGAUGGGUCCGAGAGCGGCUCCUGGUCCCGCAUCAGGGUCCGCUUGGGUGUAAUCAUGCUGAAAACAAACUGAUUCACUUUAAGCAAACCAAAUGUGACAUCCUAAAUGUUGAUAAAAUACAUAAAAAACCUUUAAAAUAUUGAAAUCGUGUAACACAAGAUAGAUAGAGGAUUUUGUCUGCAGAACAAAGCCAGAGAAGUGAAGAACGCCACCGUGAGUCUAGAACAGAACAUAAACAUUCUGAAAUUGUAUUUCUAUACCGGGCAAUCCUCUGCCGAGGUUUGGGUUUGACGGUGGCAUAAAGGAUUGAUGCUUGUCAGAUUGCAAGUGUGAAGUUCAGUGAUGGGAAAACUGACUGACUGGAAGAAGAAUCCUGUCAGUCAUCUACUGACCCAGAAGCUGCAGGAUGAGCACACCAAAACUCUUCAAAACAUGAGAUCUUGCAAGUCUGUUCCAGAACUGAACGAGCAGCACAUUUAUCUGUAUCUCAUUAGUGUUUGUUUUUAAUCUGUACAUAUUCAUAAAUGGGUUUAUUUUUGUGUUUUUGGGGAUUUUAUGCUCACAGAAACACCUAACAGUCCCAC
This is a long non-coding RNA of Oryzias javanicus (javanese ricefish), 2423 nucleotides long. The record is from Ensembl. NCBI's taxonomy places the organism in Eukaryota, Metazoa, Chordata, Actinopteri, Beloniformes, Adrianichthyidae.